This 120-nucleotide ribosomal RNA is filed under the name Candidatus Poseidoniaceae archaeon. Lineage: Archaea; Methanobacteriati; Thermoplasmatota; Candidatus Poseidoniia; Candidatus Poseidoniales; Candidatus Poseidoniaceae. The record is from RNAcentral.
GUGCACGGUCAUAGCGGAGGAGUAUACCCGGUCCCAUUCCGAACCCGGAAGUCAAGCCCUCCUGCGUCCGUUCCGGUACUGUGGUGCGAGAGCCCACGGGAAAGUCGGUCACUGUGCCCC